MicroRNA precursor from Gallus gallus (chicken), 110 nucleotides. The record is from Ensembl. Lineage: Eukaryota; Metazoa; Chordata; Aves; Galliformes; Phasianidae.
UCCCACAUAGGCUGUUCCUGCUGGCUGCCCAGUGCCAGGUCUCAUCCCUUUGGGAUCAGGGAUGUCUGUGGCUCUGGGCAGAGGACAUGGGAGGUGCUCCUUCAGGACAU